GGGGGCGCGUGGCUUCGACAGGGGAAGGCCUACAGAAUUGCAAGCUGAGGUGCCGCUAACCUCAUAAAACAAGUGGCAAAAAACAACUGGCAACAGACUAGUUGGCGUUGCAGCCUGAUUAGGGCUGCACAUUCAACCCGGCCUCUCCUCGAAGGUUGGGAUUGGGUGUCACAAAGUCGAGGUGCUGCAAUCCUGACGCCGAUAGGGAUUGCAUAAGAAAAGUCGGCUGGCUUAGCUGGAUGCGGUCAGCAGAUGAAAGCUAGGCGAGAUGAGAGGAGCUGACUAAGCUUGUAGGAUAUUCUGGCAACCUUUUUCUGGACGGGGAGUUCGACCCUCCCCCGCCUCCACCA
This 350-nucleotide transfer-messenger RNA is filed under the name Dehalococcoidia bacterium. It matches the Rfam family "transfer-messenger RNA". From Rfam's summary of the family: Bacterial tmRNA, also known as 10Sa RNA or SsrA, is named for its dual tRNA and mRNA-like properties. Its role is to liberate the mRNA from a stalled ribosome. To accomplish this part of the tmRNA is used as a reading frame that ends in a translation stop signal. Lineage: Bacteria; Bacillati; Chloroflexota; Dehalococcoidia. The record is from RNAcentral.